CUGAUUAUUUCUUCCCUGGGUGAAUUAUUCAGUCACAUGACCCAAGGCUCUUAAACAUGGCGUGACGCUGCUCUUUAAGUUACCACCCAGGAACCAACGCUGCCUGCAGCUCAACCUAGCUGAUGGAUCUGAGUGCGGUCGCCAACCUCCAAUCACCCCAGACACGAGCCCCAGGACCCCACACCACCCCACGGUA
This 196-nucleotide long non-coding RNA is filed under the name Sinocyclocheilus anshuiensis. RNAcentral's name for it is "lncRNA (ENSSANG00000026547.1)". Lineage: Eukaryota; Metazoa; Chordata; Actinopteri; Cypriniformes; Cyprinidae. The record is from RNAcentral.